GGGGUUGUGGUUUAGUGGUAGACCGCUCACCUAGCACGUGUGAGGCACUGGGUUUGAUCCUCAGCACCACCU
This 72-nucleotide transfer RNA is filed under the name Ictidomys tridecemlineatus (thirteen-lined ground squirrel). Its description in RNAcentral is "Spermophilus tridecemlineatus (thirteen-lined ground squirrel) tRNA". It matches the Rfam family "tRNA". From Rfam's summary of the family: Transfer RNA (tRNA) molecules are approximately 80 nucleotides in length. Their secondary structure includes four short double-helical elements and three loops (D, anti-codon, and T loops). The record is from Rfam by way of RNAcentral. Lineage: Eukaryota; Metazoa; Chordata; Mammalia; Rodentia; Sciuridae.